RNAcentral lists this ribosomal RNA (811 nucleotides) under Tharybis sp. LM1. Its description in RNAcentral is "partial 28S ribosomal RNA". It matches the Rfam family "Eukaryotic large subunit ribosomal RNA", at positions 77 to 790 of the family's 3401-position model. The record is from RNAcentral. Lineage: Eukaryota; Metazoa; Arthropoda; Copepoda; Calanoida; Tharybidae.
CCCCUAGUAAUAGCGAAUGAAAUGGGAAUUGCCCAUCGCCUAACUGCAGGUCAUCUUGGCCUUGCGGAAUGUGGCGUUCGGGAUAGUCUCAUCGGUAUCUGGACAGCCAGUCAAAGUCCAACUUGACAGUGGCCACUGCCCAAAGAGGGUGAUAGGCCCGUAAGGCAGCUGUCUGAUUCCGCUGACUUCUCCCUAGAGUCGGGUUGCUUGGGAGUGCAGCCCAAAGUGCGAGGUAAACUCCUUGUAAGGCUAAAUAUGACCCUGAGACCGAUAGCAAACAAGUACCGUGAGGGAAGAUUGAAAAGAACUUUGAAGAGAGAGUUCAACAGUACGUGAAACUGUGUGGUGGUAAACGGAGGGGUUCUCGAAGUUGCUGUGGGGAAGUCAACCUAGGUGUUGGGCGGUCCUGUUGUAGCUGAUCAGCAAUGACUGCCUACUUCAGCCUAUCCCAGCUCUUGGGUGCAUUUUCCCCGCCGCUUACGGCAGGAACUGUUUGGCCUGGACCGAAGGCUGCAGGUGGAGCUGUCGCUUAUGGUGGCAACCCUGUGUGCCCUGGCUCCAUGCCCGGCAGGUAUGUGAGGGGACUCGUAUAGUGAGCAAUGCUCUGUUGCUGUUCCCAUCUCUCUGCUGAGUAGGUCGGUGGCCCCUCUGACCCGUCUUGAAACACGGACCAAGGAGUCUAACAUGUAUGCAAGCCAUUGGGUUGGCUAAACCUAGUGACACAGUGAAAGCAAAGAGUAGCUUGUCUGCUCGAGGGAUGAUCCGUAAGGUGCAGUCCCGCGACUUCCAAUCAACCUUGCAUUGUUGGGAG